CUGGGGUCAUACCCGAUUGCAUAGUUGCAGCAAUACCAGACAAGGGGUCUCCGUUGUUAGGAUUAUUGGGAAGGGAGUGUGGGCGGCUUCUAGUUGCAUUAUGAUUGUGAAUGUAUGUCUCGAGGUCCUCAACUAAUCUUUCAGCAGAGUCCAUUGCAGAAUUUAAAGCAGAUGAUAGAGAAGAAAAUGAGGCAGCACCUUGCCACAGCAACCUAGAAACUUGAGCAGAUCGCCUUUGCUGAUUGCUCUCAUUCUCAGGAACAGGUAAUACUUGGGAGGCACGACGCCUUCGGCCCAACAAAUUAGUCCUCUCAGACCUUCCAUGUGUAACAUCAAAAUUCUGCGACCUAGAUUGCUCCCCCAUUGCACCAAUCAAGUUGCUAAUUUGCUGAAUCCUUUCUUCAAUGAGAGAAGAUGAUGCCCCUCGGAAUAAAAUUUGCUGCCUCAUACUCUCAAUCCUUUGCGCACGUGGCCUGGGAGGAACCUUCAAACCAGAAUCAUUCAGUUUUGACUUCUGGGCACGAUUACCAUUCCCAUGGCCAUAGAUUGGAAUGAUGCUUGUGUCUGUAACUUCACCUUGACAUUCAGGGCAUUCCUUGGCAUUUGAAUGAACAUAAG
RNAcentral lists this unclassified non-coding RNA (618 nucleotides) under Hevea brasiliensis (rubber tree). The record is from RNAcentral. Lineage: Eukaryota; Viridiplantae; Streptophyta; Magnoliopsida; Malpighiales; Euphorbiaceae.